This 20-nucleotide small nuclear RNA is filed under the name Arabidopsis thaliana (thale cress). RNAcentral describes it as "snRNA_12046". The record is from RNAcentral. Lineage: Eukaryota; Viridiplantae; Streptophyta; Magnoliopsida; Brassicales; Brassicaceae.
UCAGCUCUUGAAUUCUGAAA